CGCCUCCUAGGUUCAAGUGAUUCUCCUGCCUCAGCCUCCCGAGUAGCUGGGAUUAUAGGUACAUGCCACCACGCCCGACUAAUUUUUGCAUUCUUAGUAGAGACAGGGUUUCACCAUGUUGGCCAGGCUGGUCUCAAACUCUUGACCUCAUGAUCUGUCCGCCUCAGCGGACGGAUCCCAAAGUGCUGGGAUUAAAGGCGUGAGCCACCACACCCGGCCCUGACUGUAUUUAAAUAAGGGACAUGAGUAUGUGUAUGUGUCACACACACACAUACACACACACACACACACCUGUGUCUUCCUCUAAAUUACUACCAUCAGGGCAAAUAUUAAAUCAGGAGCUGAACCUGUUGAUUGGAAUCUGGAACUGGUCACUUGGAAGCUGGGAAUCAUUGGUCUUCUCUUUGUGUUCUAGAACGGAGGCAAUCAUACUUCCACUCAUCUCCCAUGCAGACAGUUCAGAAUGAAUGAGAAGGACAUGCAAAUGGGAAGAAGAAAGAGAGCCCACGGUUGUUGAGCCUACAGGACAUUCUCAAACACUGAGAAUAGGAAGACUGACAAAGAUCAUUUAGGAAAUUUGCCUGGGAUCUUCUUGUGGGCCUACAUACUCCCCAUUGUCACUGCAAUAGAGCCAGGAUCCAGCCCAGUGCCUGGUCAGAAGAAGCUCCAUUAGUGCUUAAGAACUGUAUUCAAUUGGAACUUUCAACCAAUUCAAUAUGGUCACAACGGGUUGGCUCCUAGUAAGCUGCUCAGUAAGUGUUUCUUCAGGUGACGUUGGCAAAUGAAAGGCAGUAAGGCCCAGUGAUUUCAGAUCCAGACUGUGGUACUCAGAACCAUAUAAUCCUGGGGUCAAAUCUCAGCCUUGCUUGCUUCUUUCUGCGUGCCCUGAGCCUCUCCCCUGUAGAGAACCUAUUUCACAUUGUUGCUAUGAAAAUGACAUGAGAUCAUGAAUGUGAAAUUUAUCAUAGUAUUGCUCAUACUACUACCUUGGGCUGGGAACUAUUCCUGGGCUUUCUCAUUUAAUCCUCUUGCAAUUCAAAGAGGAAGGCGCUCUUAACUGCCCCACUUCUUACAGAUUAAGAAGUUGAGGAACAAGGGCUGGAGCGGUGUCUCCAAGGUCACGAAGCUAGUAAGAGUGGGUAUAGAUCGCAGAUGCAGUGGCUGGUCUUAACCGUUAAGGGAGAGCUACGAAGUCCCACGUGUGGACAGUAAGUACUCAGUAAAAGUACACUGUUACUGUUACUGCUGCUGCCAUUGUGCUGGACAGCCGGGGAAAGUGAGGGGCAGAGAACUUGAGUCCCCAUAGCUACUCCAUAACAGAGCCAGAACCACGGGUGGCUCCAACAUUCAGAUCUGGGGUACCAAGCCUUGUUGCUUGUUUCUUAACUGCUUUCUCCAAGGCCUGCCCUGGGCAGCCACACCCAGAGUUCUCACGACACCCUGGAGCUCUUGCCACCCAGAAGUUCUUGCCACACCCUGCCUGCUCCCGGAAGGUAACAGGGCCACUGAAGAAGGGCUGCAUUGUUGUGGCCUUAGCCUUGGCCCUGAAGGCCAGGAGGACAAACACUUUGGCUUGUAAGUACUGCAAAUCAAUAAACAGUAAAACUCAGAAUAAAUGCCCUCUUGAACUUCAACUGACCUCAACUCCAAGCUGGCUGGUCCUGAGGACAAAUACCCAGGAACGUGAUUCCAGGAGAGAAUACUUCUGCAUGGCAUCCAGUUGCUACCUGGCAGGAGGGUGUUUGCCUUUGAGAGAGGUGGGGGCAGGGGUAUCAAAUUCUCCUGGGGAAGACAGGAAGUUUGCCAGCGCCACCCAGAGCAGAAAAAAAGUGUGGCAGUAUCAAUAAAGAUGACAAUAGCAAGAGAUCUCCUUUUUUCCUCAGAGUCCUGGCCUGCAUGAAUAGGUGAAAUCACAACAGCUAAGAUUCAGUGAGUGCUUCCUGUGUAGGCCACGUGCUGCACUUAGGACCACACGCAUGGGUUCGUUGAAUGCACUCAACAACCCUAUGGCAUGGAUUUUAUUAUUUUCAUUUUUCAGGUGAGAAAACCAUGGUACAGAGAAAAGUAAAUCGCUUCCCCAGGGGCUGCUCGGCCCCCAGGAGGCAGAACCAGAGUCUGAACCCAAGCGAUCUUUUACGGCCCUCCCCUGCAAGCUGGCAACGGAGUAUUUCCCUUUAUGGUCCCUCUCAUUUAAUUUUGAAUCAGAUGUCUUAUGCCAAAGUAUAUACAGAAAGGACACCACUUUGGAAGGUAUCUUUGUCCAUUCUGGCUACUAUAACAAAAUACCAUAAACUGGGUGUCUUUUUUUUUUUUUUUUUUUUUUUUUUUUGACGGAGUCUCGCUCUGUCGCCCAGGCUGGAGUGCAGUGGUGCGAUCUCGGGCUCACUGCAAGCUCCGCCUCCUGGGUUCACACCAUUCUCCUGCCUCAGCCUCCUGAGUAGCUGGGAAUACAGGUGCCCGCCACCACGCCCGGCUAAUUUUUUGUAUUUUUUUUUUUAGUAGAGAUGGAGUUUCACAGUGUUAGCCAGGAUGGUCUCGAUCUCCUGACCUCGUGAUCCUCCCACCUCAGCCUCCCAAAGUGCUGGGAUUACAGGCGUGAGCCACCAGGCCCGGCCAACUGGAUGUCUUAUAAACAACAGAAAUUCAUUUCUGACAGUUCCAGAGGCUGGAACUCCAAAAUCAAGGCACAGGCAGAGCUGGCAUCUGGCGAGGUUCUGCCCUCUAGUUCAUAGAUGGUGCCUUCUCACCAUGUCCUCCCAAGGUGGAAGGGGUGGGAGGUCUCUCUUGGGCAUCUUUGAUGAGGGCACUCUUCCCAUUCAGGAGGCCUCUGCCUUCAUGACCUAAUCACCUCCCAAAGACCCAGCUCCCAGUACCAUCACCUUAGGGGGUAGGAUUUCAACAUAUGGAUUUUAGGGAAACACAAACAUUCAGACCAUAGCAGAGGGGAUGAGAGACCCCUGAAGCCUGCUAAGGCUCCUGAGAGCAGCUGACAAAUGUAUAGGAUUUUGAAGAAACUUUUAAAGUCCCAGGGCAAUCAACUUUGUUCCUGCUCUGAGUCUGAGAGGUCCCCAUUCAAAGUUAGCCCCCUCAUUCAGUCUUUUUUUUUUUUUUCUUAAAUUUUGAGACAGGAUCUUACCCAGGCUAGAGUGCAGUGGCACAAUCACGGCUCACGGCAGCCUCCACCUCCCAGACUCAAGGGAUCCUCCCACCUCAGCCUCCUGAGUAGCUGAGACUACAGGUACACGCCACCGUGCUUGGCUAAUUUUUGUAUUUUUUGUAGUGACAGGGUUUUGCCAUGUAGCCCAGGCUGGUGUGGAACUCCUGGGCUCAAGCAGUCCACCCACUUUGACUUCCCAAAAUGCUGGGAUUACAGGCCUGAGCCCCUAACUCAGUCUUUAUUGCACAGCAUUAAAAGGGUGGAAGGAGCGCUUCACAGAGCCAUUCUCCUCCUCCCACCACCAUGAGAGGUACAAAUUCUACCAAACCUCGUCUCCUGUCUGCCUCUGGUGCAGGUUGAGGUUUGGCCUUCAGGGAUUGCUCCUCUGAGCUAAUUUCUUGCAAAGGAUGUGACAAAGGUCACUAGAGAGAAAACACCUCAGCACGUGUUCCAUAGGCCAAUGCGGUGAGUUCAGCACAGCCCCAUCAGCACGCAGACCAUGUGAGAGGACUCAUGCAUGGGAGGCCACCCACGAACAGGGCUAUUUUAAUAGAAUGUCUUCGGGUGUGGUGAGAAAAACCCCGGCUUGGAGUGUUUGUGGUUCAUCUGGAAUCAGGCAGCGCUGUUAUAAGCUUGGGGCCUAUACAGGCUUCCUGGGUUUCUGCUUAUUGAUACACAUUGUAGGUCCUCCAAGAACGGUCCUGAAUCAUUCCCUUGGUUAUGUCCAUGUACCGGAUCAUUCCUUUGAUUAGUACACUGUAAAUACUUCAAGAAUGCUAGAGAAAGUUUUGAGAUCAGAGCCUUUCCCACAAAAGGUCAGGAGUUCCAGUUCUCAAUAAGCCGAGGUAUCUGUGGUUAGAGGAGUCCAGAAAAUGCGGGCUGUGUGCGCCCCCUGCUGGAGAGGGAGGCCCAGGCACGCGGAGCUUCUAGUUCAGGGCCGGGGUCCUCUUGAGGGUUCUCGGAGCACCUUCUCGCGGCUCAGAGGGUUCUUCUUCCUGUCCUUCCAGGGCGGCCUUGCGUGAGAGCAGGACUGCUAAGGGUAAUGUGGCAAUCUAGAGCCAGAUUGCCGGGGUUCGAAUCCUGCUUCUGCAACUGCUCUGUAACUUUUGGCAGGUCAUUAAACCUCUCUGUGCCUCACCUUCCUCAUCUGUAAAGUUGGGAUGAUCAUAUUAGAGCCUACCUCAGAGAGUACUUAUGAGACAUAAACGAGAUAACAUCUCAAACACUGAGGCACAAACAAAGCAAAUGUCAAAACACUUAGAAUGGUGCCUGGCACAUAGGGAGUGUUAUGUGUUAAUUAUAUAUUAAUUAUUGCUAUUAUUAAUAUCAUCAUCAUAAUUCUCUUGGUUAUUAAUAAAAUCUAAGAGAAAGCUUUUCUCCUCUCUCUCAACCCUAAGGGUCACUUUCACGGGCAUCAGAAAUUCUAACAAUCCCAGAGCCAGGAUUACAGGCAUGAGCCACCGCACUAGGCUCAUUAUUCUAGAUACUAAGAGGAGGGAAGAAACUGCUAACUCUAUUCCAAUAAAAACAUCUUCUUCAAAGAAAAAAGGUAAGCCAAGCACAGUGGCCAUGCCCGUAAUCCUGGCACUUUGGGAAGCUAAGGUGGGAGAUCACUUGAGGCCAGAAGUUUGAGACCAGCCUAGGCAACCUAGCAAGACUCCCCCUCUACAAAAAAAUUUAAAAAUUGACACAUGCCUGUGGUCCCCGCUACUUGAGAGGCUGAGGUAUGAAGAUCAUUUGAACCCAUGAGUUUGCAGCUACAGUGAGCUGUGAUUGCACCACUGCACUGCAGCUUGGGCAACAGAGUGAAACACUGUCUCUAAUUAAUUAAUUAAUUAAUUAAUUAAUUAAUUUUUAAUUAAAAAGAAAAAGAAAAAAGAAUAACUUUCAUAUCAGCCAG
Molecule: long non-coding RNA, 5057 nt
Filed under: Homo sapiens (human)
Lineage: Eukaryota; Metazoa; Chordata; Mammalia; Primates; Hominidae
Description: HSALNT0071352
Source: RNAcentral